RNAcentral lists this ribosomal RNA (497 nucleotides) under uncultured bacterium. RNAcentral's name for it is "partial 16S ribosomal RNA". It matches the Rfam family "Bacterial small subunit ribosomal RNA", at positions 28 to 507 of the family's 1533-position model. The record is from RNAcentral.
GACGAACGCUGGCGGCGUGCCUAAUACAUGCAAGUUGAGCGCUGAAGGUUGGUACUUGUACCAACUGGAUGAGCAGCGAACGGGUGAGUAACGCGUGGGGAAUCUGCCUUUGAGCGGGGGACAACAUUUGGAAACGAAUGCUAAUACCGCAUAAAAACUUUAAACACAAGUUUUAAGUUUGAAAGAUGCAAUUGCAUCACUCAAAGAUGAUCCCGCGUUGUAUUAGCUAGUUGGUGAGGUAAAGGCUCACCAAGGCGAGGAUACAUAGCCGACCUGAGGGGGUGAUCGGCCACAUUGGGACUGAGACACGGCCCAAACUCCUACGGGAGGCAGCAGUAGGGAAUCUUCGGCAAUGGACGAAAGUCUGACCGAGCAACGCCGCGUGAGUGAAGAAGGUUUUCGGAUCGUAAAACUCUGUUGGUAGAGAAGAACGUUGGUGAGAGUGGAAAGCUCAUCAAGUGACGGUAACUACCCAGAAAGGGACGGCUAACUACGUG